This 234-nucleotide long non-coding RNA is filed under the name Mytilus galloprovincialis (Mediterranean mussel). The record is from RNAcentral. Lineage: Eukaryota; Metazoa; Mollusca; Bivalvia; Mytilida; Mytilidae.
CUCCCCUUAUGUAUUUCAAAUCAGUAUUUCUCCACAACCAUACAAGUGAUUGACCUCCGGUCUUCCGUUUUGAGUUCACUGACCUAUGACCUUGAAAUUGAGAUCAAGGUUGAAGGUCAAGGUCAUGUUAUAAAUUUUGAAUUUUGCUUGUUAUCGUUAUUCAAAAGAAACUGAUACAGUUAAUGAUAUGAUUUGUUUGCCAAACUACUGUUUACAAAAAGGCGCAACUUCAAC